CAUGUGGUUUAAUUCGAAGCAACGCGCAGAACCUUACCAGCCCUUGACAUACCGGUCGCGGACACAGAGAUGUGUCUUUCAGUUCGGCUGGACCGGAUACAGGUGCUGCAUGGCUGUCGUCAGCUCGUGUCGUGAGAUGUUGGGUUAAGUCCCGCAACGAGCGCAACCCUCGCCUUUAGUUGCCAUCAUUUAGUUGGGCACUCUAAAGGGACUGCCAGUGAUAAGCUGGAGGAAGGUGGGGAUGACGUCAAGUCCUCAUGGCCCUUACGGGCUGGGCUACACACGUGCUACAAUGGUGGUGACAGUGGGCAGCAAGCACGCGAGUGUGAGCUAAUCUCCAAAAGCCAUCUCAGUUCGGAUUGCACUCUGCAACUCGAGUG
RNAcentral lists this ribosomal RNA (380 nucleotides) under Ochrobactrum sp. C-95. RNAcentral's name for it is "bacterial SSU rRNA". It matches the Rfam family "Bacterial small subunit ribosomal RNA", at positions 938 to 1318 of the family's 1533-position model. The record is from RNAcentral. Lineage: Bacteria; Pseudomonadati; Pseudomonadota; Alphaproteobacteria; Hyphomicrobiales; Brucellaceae.